CGGACGGGUGAGUAACGCGUGGGUAACCUGCCUCAUACAGGGGGAUAACAGUUAGAAAUGACUGCUAAUACCGCAUAAGCGCGCAAAACCGCAUGGUUUGGUGUGAAAAACUGAGGUGGUAUGAGAUGGACCUGCGUCUGAUUAGCUAGUUGGAGAGGUAACGGCUCACCAAGGCAACGAUCAGUAGCCGACCUGAGAGGGUGACCGGCCACAUUGGGACUGAGACACGGCCCAAACUCCUACGGAAGGCAGCAG
This 255-nucleotide ribosomal RNA is filed under the name uncultured bacterium. RNAcentral describes it as "partial 16S ribosomal RNA". It matches the Rfam family "Bacterial small subunit ribosomal RNA", at positions 99 to 354 of the family's 1533-position model. The record is from RNAcentral.